ACUCUCUUAGGACCACACCUGGAGAGUUUCCAGGAGUCUACCAGUCUUGACUAUGGGAGGCAGAGUCUAGCAGAGGCAUUCCCAUUCCAUUCCUAACUUGGGGAGAGGCUAGUGAGUGGAAGGCAGUCUGCAACAAGU
This is a small nucleolar RNA of Tachyglossus aculeatus (Australian echidna), 138 nucleotides long. The record is from RefSeq and is a predicted model, not a curated record. NCBI's taxonomy places the organism in Eukaryota, Metazoa, Chordata, Mammalia, Monotremata, Tachyglossidae.